AAAAGAAAAAAAAAAAAAAAGAAAGAAGAAAGAAAGAAAAAAGAUAAAGAAAGGGAAAAUGAAGAAAAAAAUAAGGGAAGUCGAAAGAGUCUUUGAUAGUGAAAAUGAAGAGUAAUGUAUUAAAAUUAAGGUGACAUGUCAGGACCAGCGUGUGGGGUAGGCACAAAGCACUUUGUAGACAUAGUUCAGCUCUGACAAUGUAAUUGAAUAGAAACUCCAAUGAUUAUUUUAGUACCCUCAUUUAAAUAUUUUUCCUCUCGCAUUUAGUAAUUGUUUAAAGAAUUGGCCGGAGAUAACCUCAGUUACUGGCCAUCACGAUGCUUAACCCUUGGGUACAGGGAGCGGGUCGUGACAUGAGUGUUCUUAGUUGAUUUGUGAAGGGUAUUUUGGUCCAAG
This is a non-coding RNA of Camellia sinensis, 396 nucleotides long. NCBI's taxonomy places the organism in Eukaryota, Viridiplantae, Streptophyta, Magnoliopsida, Ericales, Theaceae. The record is from RefSeq and is a predicted model, not a curated record.